UGCUACCUUCUCUGGAUUUGUAUCACCAG
RNAcentral lists this non-coding RNA (29 nucleotides) under Mus musculus (house mouse). The record is from RNAcentral. Lineage: Eukaryota; Metazoa; Chordata; Mammalia; Rodentia; Muridae.